CCAUCAUUAAGUUGGGCACUCUAAGUUGACUGCCGGUGACAAACCGGAGGAAGGUGGGGAUGACGUCAAAUCAUCAUGCCCCUUAUGAUUUGGGCUACACACGUGCUACAAUGGACAAUACAAAGGGUAGCGAAACCGCGAGGUCAAGCAAAUCCCAUAAAGUUGUUCUCAGUUCGGAUUGUAGUCUGCAACUCGACUAUAUGAAGCUGGAAUCGCUAGUAAUCGUAGAUCAGCAUGCUACGGUGAAUACGUUCC
Molecule: ribosomal RNA, 255 nt
Filed under: Staphylococcus epidermidis
Lineage: Bacteria; Bacillati; Bacillota; Bacilli; Caryophanales; Staphylococcaceae
Description: partial 16S ribosomal RNA
Rfam family: Bacterial small subunit ribosomal RNA
Source: RNAcentral